Molecule: ribosomal RNA, 501 nt
Filed under: uncultured bacterium
Lineage: Bacteria
Description: partial 16S ribosomal RNA
Rfam family: Bacterial small subunit ribosomal RNA
Source: RNAcentral
AUUGAACGCUGGCGGCAUGCCUUACACAUGCAAGUCGAACGGCAGCACGGGUGCUUGCACCUGGUGGCGAGUGGCGAACGGGUGAGUAAUACAUCGGAACGUACCUUAUCGUGGGGGAUAACGCAGCGAAAGAUGUGCUAAUACCGCAUACGCCCUGAGGGGGAAAGCGGGGGAUCGAAAGACCUCGCGCGAUUAGAGAGGCCGAUGCCUGAUGAGCUUGUUGGUGGGGUAAAAGCCCACCAAGGCGACGAUCAGUAGCUGGUCUGAGAGGCCGAUCAGCCACACUGGGACUGAGACACGGCCCAGACUCCUACGGGAGGCAGCAGUGGGGAAUUUUGGACAAUGGGGGCAACCCUGAUCCAGCAAUGCCGCGUGAGUGAAGAAGGCCUUCGGGUUGUAAAGCUCUUUUGUCAGGGAAGAAACACCGGCUCUAACACAGUCCGGGAAUGACGGUACCUGAAGAAUAAGCACCGGCUAACUACGUGCCAGCAGCCGCCGUAA